Varroa destructor (honeybee mite) is the source of this 1063-nucleotide long non-coding RNA. NCBI's taxonomy places the organism in Eukaryota, Metazoa, Arthropoda, Arachnida, Mesostigmata, Varroidae. The record is from RefSeq and is a predicted model, not a curated record.
UUCGUUUUCUAUCGAAGGAAAAGAAACUAUACGUCAGUUCAGCCUUGUCGGAGGUAGUGCGGCGUUCCCUUUCCUCUAUCUUUUUUUGAUGUUAGAGGUUGCACACGCCACUAACGUCGAAAAAACCAGGGGCAUUGGAUGGCAGCUCGUCACUAAUCGUAAUAGGCCUAUCGUCCGUUGUGAGGCACAAUCAAAAAUACGUGUCUUUCCGCUUAGUACCGCCCCUUCUUAAGUAUCUCUCUUGCCCCAGCCAUCGCGCAAAAGGGUGAAGAAAAAUGCGAUGUCAUUAAUACCGCUACGAAGAGACACCGUCACUAACCGUGUUCUACAUUGCUCUCGGGCCUGAAUAAAAGCCCUGAAUACCAUGUGUCCAACCAUGUCCAACCACCAACUCGUGUCCAUAAGGCCCGCUGUGCACAGAAAACACAGCUAUACGAACAGGUCUUGCUAAUUCUGUAAAGAUAGCCUUAGACUGACCCAACACUUGUAAGAAACUGGGUGAGAUAGUGGGCAAGUUCUCUACUGGGCCGUGUUGUCUAAGUCUCAACAUUAGGAAUAAUGUCUCUCACAGCCGCCCCGAUGAGCAUCUGGCCAGCAUCCGUAGAAGGUGGACCCUUGGGGAACUUCAACAUCAUAUGGUCAAGACGCGCUAUUGAAAGAAGAUGGUUAUAUCGUUUUCGUCCUGAAAAUUUCGCCAUGAAAGAUACUGCUCGUAAUAGUCAACCAGUUGCGAAAAAGUUUAUGAAAUUAUUCCAAAAGUUUUCCGAAGCUGACACGUGAGUAGCCGUGACCCAUCAAGGAACCAAACAUCUACUGCCGAACAGUUUUAGAACAUUUGAAAAAAGCUAGCUACGAAAAAAUGUUCGAUAUUUGGCUCUCAAUCGAAUUGACGCAGAAAGUUUACUCGAUCAUAAUUCUACUUGCGAAAUUUUACAGAAACACAACAAAAUCGAUCCGUUUCUUAAAGGGUUGAUUGCAUGUAAUGAAAAAUAGAUCACAUGAACGACAAUGUGUAAGUAAAAGACAGUAUUCUCUACAAUAUGUGACAGAGCUCACACUGACA